Molecule: ribosomal RNA, 1372 nt
Filed under: uncultured bacterium
Lineage: Bacteria
Description: bacterial SSU rRNA
Rfam family: Bacterial small subunit ribosomal RNA
Source: RNAcentral
GAUGAACGCUGGCGGCGUGCCUAAUACAUGCAAGUCGAGCGAACGGACGAGAAGCUUGCUUCUCUGAUGUUAGCGGCGGACGGGUGAGUAACACGUGGAUAACCUACCUAUAAGACUGGGAUAACUUCGGGAAACCGGAGCUAAUACCGGAUAAUAUUUUGAACCGCAUGGUUCAAAAGUGAAAGACGGUCUUGCUGUCACUUAUAGAUGGAUCCGCGCUGCAUUAGCUAGUUGGUAAGGUAACGGCUUACCAAGGCAACGAUGCAUAGCCGACCUGAGAGGGUGAUCGGCCACACUGGAACUGAGACACGGUCCAGACUCCUACGGGAGGCAGCAGUAGGGAAUCUUCCGCAAUGGGCGAAAGCCUGACGGAGCAACGCCGCGUGAGUGAUGAAGGUCUUCGGAUCGUAAAACUCUGUUAUUAGGGAAGAACAUAUGUGUAAGUAACUGUGCACAUCUUGACGGUACCUAAUCAGAAAGCCACGGCUAACUACGUGCCAGCAGCCGCGGUAAUACGUAGGUGGCAAGCGUUAUCCGGAAUUAUUGGGCGUAAAGCGCGCGUAGGCGGUUUUUUAAGUCUGAUGUGAAAGCCCACGGCUCAACCGUGGAGGGUCAUUGGAAACUGGAAAACUUGAGUGCAGAAGAGGAAAGUGGAAUUCCAUGUGUAGCGGUGAAAUGCGUAGAGAUAUGGAGGAACACCAGUGGCGAAGGCGACUUUCUGGUCUGUAACUGACGCUGAUGUGCGAAAGCGUGGGGAUCAAACAGGAUUAGAUACCCUGGUAGUCCACGCCGUAAACGAUGAGUGCUAAGUGUUAGGGGGUUUCCGCCCCUUAGUGCUGCAGCUAACGCAUUAAGCACUCCGCCUGGGGAGUACGACCGCAAGGUUGAAACUCAAAGGAAUUGACGGGGACCCGCACAAGCGGUGGAGCAUGUGGUUUAAUUCGAAGCAACGCGAAGAACCUUACCAAAUCUUGACAUCCUUUGACAACUCUAGAGAUAGAGCUUUCCCCUUCGGGGGACAAAGUGACAGGUGGUGCAUGGUUGUCGUCAGCUCGUGUCGUGAGAUGUUGGGUUAAGUCCCGCAACGAGCGCAACCCUUAAGCUUAGUUGCCAUCAUUAAGUUGGGCACUCUAAGUUGACUGCCGGUGACAAACCGGAGGAAGGUGGGGAUGACGUCAAAUCAUCAUGUCCCUUAUGAUUUGGGCUACACACGUGCUACAAUGGACAAUACAAGGGGCAGCGAAACCGCGAGGUCAAGCAAAUCCCAUAAAGUUGUUCUCAGUUCGGAUUGUAGUCUGCAACUCGACUACAUGAAGCUGGAAUCGCUAGUAAUCGUAGAUCAGCAUGCUACGGUGAAUACGUUCCCGGGUCU